Molecule: transfer RNA, 72 nt
Filed under: Spumella sp. Baekdong012001B8
Lineage: Eukaryota; Chrysophyceae; Chromulinales; Chromulinaceae
Description: tRNA-His
Rfam family: tRNA
About the family: Transfer RNA (tRNA) molecules are approximately 80 nucleotides in length. Their secondary structure includes four short double-helical elements and three loops (D, anti-codon, and T loops). Further hydrogen bonds mediate the characteristic L-shaped molecular structure. tRNAs have two regions of fundamental functional importance: the anti-codon, which is responsible for specific mRNA codon recognition, and the 3' end, to which the tRNAs corresponding amino acid is attached (by aminoacyl-tRNA synthetases). tRNAs cope with the degeneracy of the genetic code in two manners: having more than one tRNA (with a specific anti-codon) for a particular amino acid; and 'wobble' base-pairing, i.e. permitting non-standard base-pairing at the 3rd anti-codon position.
Source: RNAcentral
GCGGAUGUAGCCAAGUGGUAAGGCAAUGGGCUGUGAUCCCGUCAUGCGCGGGUUCGAUCCCCGUCAUUCGCC